GCGGGUGUUGCAUAGUGGUAAUGCCUGAGCCUUCCAAGCUCAUGACGCGAGUUCGAUUCUCGCCACCCGCUCCA
Molecule: transfer RNA, 74 nt
Filed under: Paraburkholderia sp.
Lineage: Bacteria; Pseudomonadati; Pseudomonadota; Betaproteobacteria; Burkholderiales; Burkholderiaceae
Description: tRNA-Gly
Rfam family: tRNA
About the family: Transfer RNA (tRNA) molecules are approximately 80 nucleotides in length. Their secondary structure includes four short double-helical elements and three loops (D, anti-codon, and T loops).
Source: RNAcentral